CAGCCAAUGUCAGCCACGCAGCCAAAGACAUCACCUUGCUGGUAGUCAAACACAUACUUGUGCGUGAGAGCAGCAUACAGCAGAUAUCCAGCCUGGGUGUGAACGAUUCCUUUGGGUUUCCCUGUGCUGCCUGAGGUAUACAGCAUGAAAAGCAUGUCUUCACUGUCCAUGCUCUCUGGAGUGCAUACAGAAGCUGCCUUGGCCAUCUCUUCUUCGAGGGGAACGUCAAGGUCACCCAUCUGGGUUUUGUUAUCUGUCCUCUGUGCCACAAAGACGUGUUUGACACUUGGACAGUUCUUUACAGCUUCAUCCACCGUCGUCUUCAGCUCUAUGAUUCG
This 338-nucleotide long non-coding RNA is filed under the name Gallus gallus (chicken). Lineage: Eukaryota; Metazoa; Chordata; Aves; Galliformes; Phasianidae. The record is from RNAcentral.